Saccostrea cuccullata (small rock oyster) is the source of this 556-nucleotide long non-coding RNA. RefSeq lists it as uncharacterized. The record is from RefSeq and is a predicted model, not a curated record. Lineage: Eukaryota; Metazoa; Mollusca; Bivalvia; Ostreida; Ostreidae. The transcript is spliced from 3 exons.
UUUGAUAAAAGUGGAUAUUACAUACAUGUAUAGAUGCUUAGCCAAUCAGUCACUAGGCUUGUGAAUAUGGAAUCCGGAUGCUAACAAGAUUUAAGACGAGCUGUAUGAAAAAAUCAAACAAUUGUGCAAGGAAAGUUUGAAGUGUUUGUUGGAAUGAUCAACAUCGAAAUUGCUGAGCCUUCGUUCUAAAAGUGAAUCCGUUCAUGACGCCAAUUAUCUGUCAACCCUCUAUUGCAAAUUUCAUGGGAUAUCUGUGAGGAAGUGAUUCUAGCAACAUGUCAGAAGUUUUGGAUCUUCCACAAUUGUGAUCUUUGGCACGUACAUUGGGGAAAAAUAGCAACUGUUAAUUUUAUGGGAUCUUUGUAUCAAUGUAGUUAUGUGGUACAUAUAUUUUUGCAUUUACUACAUGUGUUUGUCACUCUAGUCACUAACUUUGUACAGUAAAUUUAUAUGGGCCACUGGCAGUUUAUUGUAAAUGUAUAUCCUGUUGAGGUUUCAAUGACCUCUCCCAAUCCUUGGCCAAUGUCAUUUAAUGAAUCUUACCUCUUAUUUUUUU